RNAcentral lists this ribosomal RNA (499 nucleotides) under Schizophyllum commune. Its description in RNAcentral is "eukaryotic LSU rRNA". The stretch from base 50 to 203 matches the Rfam family "5.8S ribosomal RNA". Lineage: Eukaryota; Fungi; Basidiomycota; Agaricomycetes; Agaricales; Schizophyllaceae. The record is from RNAcentral.
AUGUUAACGAAUGUAAUAAAGGGGGUGACAGACCCUAAAAAGUUAUUACAACUUUCGACAACGGAUCUCUUGGCUCUCGCAUCGAUGAAGAACGCAGCGAAAUGCGAUAAGUAAUGUGAAUUGCAGAAUUCAGUGAAUCAUCGAAUCUUUGAACGCACCUUGCGCCCUUUGGUAUUCCGAGGGGCAUGCCUGUUUGAGUGUCAUUAAAUACCAUCAACCCUCUUUUGACUUCGGUCUCGGAGUGGCUUGGAAGUGGAGGUCUGCUGGAGCCUAACGGAGCCAGCUCCUCUUAAAUGUAUUAGCGGAUUUCCCUUGCGGGAUCGCGUCUCCGAUGUGAUAAUUUCUACGUCGUUGACCAUCUCGGGGCUGACCUAGUCAGUUUCAAUAGGAGUCUGCUUCUAACCGUCUCUUGACUGAGACUAGCGACUUGUGCGCUAACUUUUGACUUGACCUCAAAUCAGGUAGGACUACCCGCUGAACUUAAGCAUAUCAAUAAGCG